RNAcentral lists this ribosomal RNA (285 nucleotides) under Triticum aestivum (bread wheat). RNAcentral describes it as "partial small subunit ribosomal RNA". The record is from RNAcentral. Lineage: Eukaryota; Viridiplantae; Streptophyta; Magnoliopsida; Poales; Poaceae.
AUGUAUGCUUUUAGCGGGAAUAUUAUUAAAGAUGGGAGCAUAUGGAUUGAUUCGGAUCAACAUGGAAUUGUUACCUCAUGCUCAUUAUCUAUUUUCGCCCUGGUUAGUAAUAAUAGGAGCGAUCAGCUCCCUACCCUGCAGAAAAUAAAAAUGAAACGAAAGGGACAGUCUACCUCUCCCUUCCCUUUAAAAACAGUUUGCCCGUUGUUUGUCUCAGUUAAUACCCAAUUUUUGGAGCUCUCUUGGCGAGUUCUAUUUCUGCCUCCAAAGCGCCCUUUUUUUUGA